CCUACGGGGGGCUGCAGUGGGGAAUAUUGCACAAUGGGCGCAAGCCUGAUGCAGCCAUGCCGCGUGUAUGAAGAAGGCCUUCGGGUUGUAAAGUACUUUCAGUCGUGAGGAAGGUGUUAAGGUUAAUAACCUUAGCAAUUGACGUUAGCGACAGAAGAAGCACCGGCUAACUCCGUGCCAGCAGCCGCGGUAAUACGGAGGGUGCGAGCGUUAAUCGGAAUUACUGGGCGUAAAGGGCACGCAGGCGGUUAAUUUAAGUGGGAGGGAAAACCCCGGGGUUUAACUUGGGAAGGGCAUUAAAGAUUGUUAAGUAGGGUCUUGGAAGAGGGGGUAAGAUUUCAAGGUGUGGCGGUGAAUGGGGUAAAGAGGGGGGGGAAUCCCGGUGGGGAAGGCGCCCCCCUGAAAAAAUCUGGAGCUCCUGGUCGGAAGGCGGGGGAGCAAACAGGAUUAGAUACCCCAGUAGUC
This 465-nucleotide ribosomal RNA is filed under the name uncultured Arsenophonus sp. RNAcentral describes it as "partial 16S ribosomal RNA". It matches the Rfam family "Bacterial small subunit ribosomal RNA", at positions 338 to 795 of the family's 1533-position model. The record is from RNAcentral. Lineage: Bacteria; Pseudomonadati; Pseudomonadota; Gammaproteobacteria; Enterobacterales; Morganellaceae.